This 406-nucleotide ribosomal RNA is filed under the name uncultured bacterium. RNAcentral's name for it is "bacterial SSU rRNA". It matches the Rfam family "Bacterial small subunit ribosomal RNA", at positions 29 to 418 of the family's 1533-position model. The record is from RNAcentral.
AACGAACGUUAGCGGCGCGCCUAACACAUGCAAGUCGAGCGAGAAAGGGCUUCGGCCCCGGUAAAGCGGCGCACGGGUGAGUAACACGUGGAUAACCUACCCCUUGGUGGUGGAUAACCUUCCGAAAGGAGGGCUAAUACAGCGUAAGACCACGACUUCGAAAGAGGUUGGGGUAAAAGUGGGCCUCUGUACACAAGCUCACGCCAGGGGGAUGGGUCCGCGGCCCAUCAGCUAGUUGGUAGGGUAACGGCCUACCAAGGCGAAGACGGGUAGCUGGUCUGAGAGGAUGAUCAGCCACACUGGAACUGAGACACGGUCCAGACUCCUACGGGAGGCAGCAGUGGGGAAUCUUGCGUCAAUGGACGAAAGUCUGACGCAGCGACGCCGCGUGAGUGAUGAAGGCCUC